AAUUCAUGGUGUGGACAUAUGUUCAUUAGGUCCUUGAAUCUCUCCCAGAAAGCCUAGAAUGUUUCGUCACCUUUUUGCAAGAACUGACUAAUCUGCUCCUGCAGGU
This is a small nucleolar RNA of Malania oleifera, 106 nucleotides long. NCBI's taxonomy places the organism in Eukaryota, Viridiplantae, Streptophyta, Magnoliopsida, Santalales, Ximeniaceae. The record is from RefSeq and is a predicted model, not a curated record.